Molecule: small nucleolar RNA, 108 nt
Organism: Coffea arabica (coffee)
Lineage: Eukaryota; Viridiplantae; Streptophyta; Magnoliopsida; Gentianales; Rubiaceae
Source: RefSeq, a predicted model, not a curated record
AAGUCCAUGAUGUGGACAUUUCUGAAACAAAUCUCAAAACCUUUCCCAUGCUUCAUAUAAUGGCUCACCAUCAAAUUGACUGAAACUAGUAAUAUCCAUUCUAAAUUU